UACGUAGGGCGCAAGCGUUGUCCGGAAUCAUUGGGCGUAAAGAGCUCGUAGGUGGUCUGUUACGUCUGCUGUGAAAACCUAGGGCUUAACCCUGGGCCUGCAGUGGAUACGGGCAGACUAGAGGUAGGUAGGGGAGAAUGGAAUUCCCGGUGUAGCGGUGAAAUGCGCAGAUAUCGGGAGGAACACCGGUGGCGAAGGCGGUUCUCUGGGCCGAUACUGACGCUGAGGAGCGAAAGCGUGGGGAGCGAACAGG
This 253-nucleotide ribosomal RNA is filed under the name uncultured bacterium. Its description in RNAcentral is "partial 16S ribosomal RNA". It matches the Rfam family "Bacterial small subunit ribosomal RNA", at positions 524 to 776 of the family's 1533-position model. The record is from RNAcentral.